AUGAACGCUGGCGGCGUGCCUAAUACAUGCAAGUCGAGCGAACAGAUGAGGAGCUUGCUCCUCUGACGUUCGCGGCGGACGGGUGAGUAACACGUGGAUAACCUACCUAUAAGACUGGGAUAACUUCGGGAAACCGGAGCUAAUACCGGAUAAUAUAUUGAACCGCAUGGUUCAAUAGUGAAAGACGGUUUUGCUGUCACUUAUAGAUGGAUCCGCGCCGCAUUAGCUAGUUGGUAAGGUAACGGCUUACCAAGGCAACGAUGCGUAGCCGACCUGAGAGGGUGAUCGGCCACACUGGAACUGAGACACGGUCCAGACUCCUACGGGAGGCAGCAGUAGGGAAUCUUCCGCAAUGGGCGAAAGCUUGACGGAGCAACGCCGCGUGAGUGAUGAAGGUCUUCGGAUCGUAAAACUCUGUUAUUAGGGAAGAACAAAUGUGUAAGUAACUAUGCACGUCUUGACGGUACCUAAUCAGAAAGCCACGGCUAACUACGUG
This 496-nucleotide ribosomal RNA is filed under the name uncultured bacterium. RNAcentral's name for it is "partial 16S ribosomal RNA". It matches the Rfam family "Bacterial small subunit ribosomal RNA", at positions 29 to 507 of the family's 1533-position model. The record is from RNAcentral.